RNAcentral lists this ribosomal RNA (436 nucleotides) under uncultured soil bacterium. Its description in RNAcentral is "bacterial SSU rRNA". It matches the Rfam family "Bacterial small subunit ribosomal RNA", at positions 59 to 519 of the family's 1533-position model. The record is from RNAcentral.
CAGUCGAACGGUCUUCGCAAGAGGACAGUGGCGCACGGGUGAGGAACACGUAGCUUAUCUGCCCAGAAGUGUGGGAUAACGCCCCGAAAGGGGUGCUAAUACCGCAUAAGCUCCCGCUCUACAGAGGGGUGGGAGAAAAGGGGAAACUCGCUUUUGGAGGAGGCUGCGGCCCAUCAGGUAGUUGGUGCGGUAACGGCGCACCAAGCCGACGACGGGUAGGGGACCUGAGAGGGUGAUCCCCCACACUGGGACUGAGACACGGCCCAGACUCCUACGGGAGGCAGCAGUGAGGAAUAUUGCCCAAUGGGCGCAAGCCUGAGGCAGCGACGCCGCGUGGGUGAUGAAGGCCUUCGGGUCGUAAAGCCCUUUUCUGUGUGACGAGCAAAGGACGGUAGCACAGGAAAAAGUCUCGGCUAACUACGUGCCAGCAGCCGCG